CCAAUCUCCCAUUUCCUUCAACACACAAGCUUCAUUCAGCCAAAUCCCCAAAAUAACGACAGCAACAACCAGCAGCAUACAACAUUGACAAUCAGCAACAUAUAAUUUCAACCAGCCAAAACCCAAAACCCAUCCAAAUCAAUCCGAUUCUCCUCUUUCUCGACCCAAAUUUGUCAACCUGCGACCGACCUGACCUCGACCCGUGGCUCACGCGCCCCACCAUGCAAAUCUGUGCAAGAAAAGCAAAGAAGUUUCUAAAAUUGGAUGAGUUGUCUCCCAACGGUUUGAUCCCGAGAUUUUUGGGUUAAUUUGUACGAAUUCAUACAGAGGUUGAUGAAUUUCAUUGGUCCAAGAGAUGAUUCCAUGAUCCCAUUUUGCUAUUGGCUAGCCGUUGUUGGAUUUUUCAUCGAGAACAGCAAAUUCGUAUAGAUUACGGAUGAAAACCAAAGGGGAGGCAGAGGGGAAUUUGAAAAUUUUCAAAAGUUCCUAUUUUAGAAUCCCUAAAAUAGCCAGAUUAGGUCUUCUAUAUAAGAAGCCAUUGGUUAUCUGUUUAGAAGGGAUAGGGGAUGGAGAAAGCUAGGUUGAAAAAUUAGGGUUUUGAAAAGAGGGGUUUUUCCUUUCUUUUGGGGUUCGAAAAUUGUCUGAGAAAGCUGGGAGGAAAAUUUCUUUGGGUGUUCAAACAUUUUUUCUGAGGAAAUUUUGGGGGUUGGAAAAAUUCUCGGAUAAGAAAAUUUGGUGUUUUCAGAAAAACUGAGAGUUGAAGGGUAGAGAAAAUUUUUUUGGUUCUGAAAGAUUGAUUCUAAAGAAGCUGCUAUGAGGUUUCUAUUUUCUCGGUGAUGGUUGGAAUCCUAUAUCAACUCGUCGUCCUAUUUUGCUGCCCCAGAAGAGGCUCAUCUGUUGAGUCAAGCCCGGAAGAGAGUCUAAGGUUGCACAGUGUACGAAUGCAAGGAGUCGAAAGAAGAAGAAUGGAUUAAGAUCCCAUUUUUGAAGCGGAGAAGAGACAAGAAAGUCUCUAUUUAUUUACUUAUUGAUUUAUUGUUGCCUUUAUUUGUUUAUUUAUUCAUUUUUUAGUUCAUUA
This is a long non-coding RNA of Capsicum annuum, 1078 nucleotides long. RefSeq lists it as uncharacterized. NCBI's taxonomy places the organism in Eukaryota, Viridiplantae, Streptophyta, Magnoliopsida, Solanales, Solanaceae. The transcript is spliced from 2 exons. The record is from RefSeq and is a predicted model, not a curated record.